UUUUGGUACGCUCCAAGAUGGCUGCCUCCAUAGUGCGGCGCGGGAUGCUCCUGGCGCGGCAAGUGGUUCUUCCUCAGCUCUCUCCUGCAGGUUGGCCGGACAGCUUCAUUAGGCCCCUGAUUAUUCUGUUUUUUGGGUGAAGGGAGCGGUGGGCUUUCAAGAGGAGAGGAAACGUUUCUGGAAUCUGAUUGCUAGGGACGCCAUUUGGGGUGUUUGGUAGUGCAGAAGAAGGAGACAAGGUAAAAGAUACCUGCUUUCUUCAGCCUAUGUAGACAGCCACAAAUGGGAAGCAAGAGAAAAAGAACAUUACUGUCUUGCUGAUCUUGCAUCUUUAAUGGAUAAAACAUUUGAGAGAAAGUUGCCUGUUAGUUCUUUAACAAUAUCACGGCUUAUAGACAACAUUUCCUCUCGGGAAGAGAUAGAUCAUGC
RNAcentral lists this long non-coding RNA (429 nucleotides) under Homo sapiens (human). RNAcentral's name for it is "non-protein coding lnc-MRPS27-10:2". Lineage: Eukaryota; Metazoa; Chordata; Mammalia; Primates; Hominidae. The record is from RNAcentral.